UUGUUUUGCGCCCUUAAAAAGUGACCCAACAGUGGGAGGAUGAUGUCAGCGAUGAUUUCUCUCUUCAGCUGAGGAGAGAGCUGAAAAGCAAUACCGAAAGAAUUAAACAUUCUGCUUGCUACGAUUCGGUUGAUAAAAGUGUCAUGAGUUAGGUACUUGACUUUGUUGGUGUUUCCUUUUGUGGAAAAGAAACGAAAGCUAUAUGCCUUUUCUUUUAGUAGAUGUAAGACAGUGAGGCAGAACAUAAGGACUUAAGUUGUUAUUUCUGAAGAACAUCUAGAUACAAGUAUUGUUUGUACUUUAAUUGUAUUUUAUUUCAUAAGUUUUAAACUGGGUCACAAUCCCUUGGGCUGCAUUGCCAUUAAUAACUGGUGAAUGUGGAGUUGCAUUUCACUUUCUUGUUAUCACUGUUCAGUCUGCAGAAACUAGCUUGUGGGUAUCUGAAUUCAACAACCCAAGGAAUUUGAAUGCCAA
Arachis ipaensis is the source of this 474-nucleotide non-coding RNA. NCBI's taxonomy places the organism in Eukaryota, Viridiplantae, Streptophyta, Magnoliopsida, Fabales, Fabaceae. The record is from RefSeq and is a predicted model, not a curated record.